UACCCUUAAAGUCUUGACCUUCUCUUUCCUUGGCUGCUCAGGUCAUAGGUGCUGCAAUCUAGAGACAAAAUAUUCCUUACACUGCCAGAUACUUGCAAACUAAGGGGAACGAGCUUCCCUCUGAAUGUUUAUGAAGGAGAGACCACUGUGAGGAUAGACAGUGAAGUGCAACUACAGCCCGCAAAUGAAAAUGAAUAAAAUUAAUCCAGCCCCUCAAGGCAGUCAUCUGUCUUAGAGCUAUUGGAAUCCUGGAUCAUUGUGGGAAAUGAAAAGAACUGGUUUUUAGCAAGGAGACCAAGAAACUCUACUCCCUAGGGGCUAGCAAUGAGAGAAAGGAAGCCUUGAGUCUUUGAGCACAGGGUGACAGUUUGGGUCCUAUGUGAGAUGAUCAAAUCCACAGCAACAGAGGAAAGGACAAAAGGAAAAGGUCUGUAGCAGCACUACAUCAGAAAAAAUGGAUUCCGCAAGGAAGUGGGUGACUCUGAAUACUUCGAUGGAAUCAGCAGCCAUUGAUCCAAUGCCAACUCCAAGACUGGAACGUCGCAAUGAUAGUUCCAAGGCGGAAAUUUGACGUAAUUCUUUUCGACACAGUUUUACAGGUCUGGAUGCCCAUUUUAAUUCUUCUGAAAGCAUGCCUCCUUCUGGCUUCAGGACUCCAUCUCCAGCCUUAUGAUCUAAAAAUAAUCCCCAAACCAAAAAAUUAGAUAUUAUUUCCUCAAAAUUAGGUGUUUUAAUCAAAACAUCUUAACAUAAAUACAUUAUUAUCACCCAAUAUGCAUAA
Molecule: long non-coding RNA, 781 nt
Filed under: Homo sapiens (human)
Lineage: Eukaryota; Metazoa; Chordata; Mammalia; Primates; Hominidae
Description: novel transcript
Source: RNAcentral